RNAcentral lists this ribosomal RNA (488 nucleotides) under uncultured bacterium. RNAcentral's name for it is "bacterial SSU rRNA". It matches the Rfam family "Bacterial small subunit ribosomal RNA", at positions 791 to 1285 of the family's 1533-position model. The record is from RNAcentral.
UAGUCCACGCCGUAAACGAUGAUUACUCGCUGUUGGCGAUACACUGUCAGUGGCUGAGCGAAAGCAUUAAGUAAUCCACCUGGGGAGUACGGUCGCAAGAUUGAAACUCAAAGGAAUUGACGGGGGCCCGCACAAGCGGUGGAGCAUGUGGUUUAAUUCGAUGAUACGCGAGGAACCUUACCAGGGCUUAAAUGUAUGUUGACAGAUUUGGAAACAGAUUUUUCUUCGGACAAUAUACAAGGUGCUGCAUGGUUGUCGUCAGCUCGUGCUGUGAAGUGUCGGGUUAAGUCCCAUAACGAGCGCAGCCCCUAUUCUUAGUUGCCAGCGAUUCAAGUCGGGGACUCUAAGAAAACUGCCAGCGCAAGCUGUGAGGAAGGUGGGGAUGACGUCAAAUCAUCACGGCCCUUACGUCCUGGGCUACACACGUGCUACAAUGGUGCAUACAGAGGGCAGCUACCUGGCGACAGGAUGCGAAUCUCAAAAGUGCA